RNAcentral lists this signal recognition particle RNA (265 nucleotides) under Clostridium sp. 42_12. RNAcentral describes it as "signal recognition particle sRNA large type". It matches the Rfam family "Bacterial large signal recognition particle RNA". From Rfam's summary of the family: The signal recognition particle (SRP) is a universally conserved ribonucleoprotein involved in the co-translational targeting of proteins to membranes. Archaeal SRP consists of a 7S RNA and homologues of the eukaryotic SRP19 and SRP54 proteins. The record is from RNAcentral. Lineage: Bacteria; Bacillati; Bacillota; Clostridia; Eubacteriales; Clostridiaceae.
CCGUGCUAGCCGGGGAGAUAGCGGUUCCCUGUACCUGCAAUCCGCUAUAGCAGGGGUGAUGUUCUGUUUCGGGUCUAUGGCUUGCAAAGCUGCCCUUUGUAAGUGGCGUUGACGCUUUGGUCUUGCGCAAUGGAAACUCAUGAACCGUGUCAGGAGGGGAACCUAGCAGCACUAAGUGAGAUCUUCCGUGUGCCGCGAGGUUGCCGGGGCUGAGUUAACUGCGAAGGUAACGUUUGCAGCGAUGGAUUCAACGCAGAAUGCACGG